UUGUCCUGCUGGAAAACACCCUGUACCAAUAAGGCUAAGGGCAUCUUCAACUAACUGCCUCAGGGGCUCCUUACCCACAAAGAAGGUGUCAAGGAUUUGGCACAGAGUAGCUGUGAGCACUGCCUGGUCGAGAGUCUCUACCUCUUCUCUCAUGGUGUGCAAUUCCUUCUCCAGACUGCUUUCUCCCCAGCUUUGCCCUGACCACCCUUUCUCCUGGCUUACAUGGCUGCAGAUGCUCUUCCUCAGCUGUAGCAGAACCCAGCAAUGCUUUACCAGGUCCAGCUUCAGAUCUGACCUGGAUGAGUCUGCCAGAAGCAUGCAGUAGAAAACGACUGCUUCCACGUGAGCGCUGAGCUCACUGUCAGAGAGCUGCACUGGGUCUGGGGAAGAGAGGAGAGCCAGCAGCCUGCUCACGUGCUGGGAGAAGGUCCCGCUUCUGUCCCAUGGCUCCCUUCUGACUGUAUUGUCGACGAGCAGGGAAGUGAGCUCUUUGAUGGUGCUCUCCAUUAGCUGGAAAGCAUAAUCUUUGGACAGGUUGGCUCGCUGACCCCAGGAGCGUUUAAGAUCGCUGUGCUUGGCUGCGUGGAGCAAAGGAAUGCACUUGUGAAGCAGCUGCAAAGUUUGGGCCAAGCUCUUCUGUUGAGGACAAUCUCCAAGUUCCUCGAGGUGCUUUGCUGUCAGAUUGCUCAGCAGAAGCAAGGCCUCUGAAAAGGUCCAGAAAGCAGCCAGCAGUCCUGGCAUAUCCCCUGCAUCCCGCAGCACACUCAGGCACUCCAAAAGCCAGCUGGCAGCCUGAAUUAUCCUCCUCGUCCCAGCAGCAUCUUCAAUCUGAAGGAUCUAACCAGGAAGAAAAAAACAACAGAAAAACCAGUCAGAGUGGUAAGGCGCAAGAACCCCUGUUCACUAUUUUUUCCCAAGCUGACACCCCAGCCCUUGGAGGGAAGCAAGGAGAUGUGUGACCUGCCCUAGUGAGCACACGGUGAAGAAACGACCAUUGCUCCAGCUAGAGCUUCCCUCAAACCCCACCCCAAGUCCUGGUGGAGGAGCUCUUGUCCCUCCAACAGCUGCAGUUUUAACCCACUGCUGCGUCCCGGCCCAACACCUUUCCCUGCUCCUGCCAGCAUUAACCCCCUCCAUUGUUACCUUCACUGUCUCUGUUAAGACCCUCUUUGCCGACACAGCCAGCUCCUCUCUGUGGCCAGGGUUGUCUGGCUGCACCUGGAGCUUCUGGGCUACCAGCAGAACGCACCUCCCGGCUUGGACAAGGGACUGGGCUGCAGGAUGCAUCUCCUCUUUGAACACCUCAUCGCUGGACUCCUCAGCCAACCUGGAACAGAAACCGCUGGGCUCAGCUCUCCACCAUCCUCGUGCUGGGUGCACACAGAUCACCGGGGCACGGGUCAGUGCUUUGGCUGUGGAGGGGUAAGGAGUGAUCCUGGGUGACAUCUGUCUGUGGGGGGUGAGUCGAUGCUGCCACUGUGGAAAUGCCAGAGAGGCCAGGGCUGGUGUGCACCGUGCAACGUGCAUCGUGUGGUGUGCAACAUGAAUCACGCACUGUGCGUCACACAUGGUGUGGUGUGCGACAUGCAACACACAUCAUGCAACGUGCAUUGUAUGAUGUCCACCAUGAAUGGCGCACCGUGAGCAUGUGACAUGCAUUGUGCAAUGUGAGUCGUGCAUCGUGCAUCACUGAUCAUGCAACAUGCAUCACGUGGUGUGCAAUGUGAAUCACGCACCAUGCAUCACGCAUGGUGUGGUGUGCAAUGUGCAACAUGCAUCAUGCAACACGUGUCUUGCAACAUGCAUUGUACCAUGUGCAACAUGAGUGUGCAAUGUGCACUGUGCAACACUAAUUGUGCAUCCUGAGUCACGUAUCAUGCAAUGUGCUUCAUGCAAUGUGCAACGUAAGUCAUGCACUAUGCGUCACUUAUGGUGUGUGGUGUGCAGCACGCAUCGUGCAACACGCAUCGUGCCAUGUGCAUUGUGUGAUGUGCAACAUGAAUCGUGCACCAUGAGUGUGUGACGUGCAUCGUGCAACGUGAGUCGUGCAUCCUGCAUCACGGAUCAUGCAGCUUGUCUCGUGUGCUGUGCAACGUGAAUCACGCCCUGUGUGUCACGCAUGGUGUGGUGCAUCGUGCACCGUGCAUUGUGCAAUGUGCACCGUGAAUGCCGCACUGUGUGCGCCGUGCCACCCGUGCAGCGUCAACGGUGCAUCCUGCAUCAUGGAUCAUGCAGGUUGCCUCGUGUGAUGCGCAACAAGAAUUAUGCACUGUGCAUCAUGCAUGGUGUGGUGUGUGACACGCACCGUGCACCGUGCACUGUGCGAUGUGCACCGUGAAUGCCGCACCGUGAGUGUGCAACAUGCAUCCGUGCAACAUCAAUGGUGCAUCCUGCAUCACAAAUC
Molecule: long non-coding RNA, 2404 nt
Filed under: Calidris pugnax (ruff)
Lineage: Eukaryota; Metazoa; Chordata; Aves; Charadriiformes; Scolopacidae
Description: lncRNA (ENSCPUG00000005080.1)
Source: RNAcentral